Molecule: ribosomal RNA, 465 nt
Filed under: uncultured bacterium
Lineage: Bacteria
Description: partial 16S ribosomal RNA
Rfam family: Bacterial small subunit ribosomal RNA
Source: RNAcentral
GACGAACGCUGGCGGCGUGCUUAACACAUGCAAGUCGAACGGAGAGGCCCUGCUUGCAGGGUACUCGAGUGGCGAACGGGUGAGUAACACGUGGGUGAUCUGCCCUGCACUUCGGGAUAAGCCUGGGAAACUGGGUCUAAUACCGGAUAGGAGCCAUUUUUAGUGUGAUGGUUGGAAAGUUUUUUCGGUGUAGGAUGAGCUCGCGGCCUAUCAGCUUGUUGGUGGGGUAAUGGCCUACCAAGGCGGCGACGGGUAGCCGGCCUGAGAGGGUGGAAGGCCACAUUGGGACUGAGAUACGGCCCAGACUCCUACGGGAGGCAGCAGUGGGGAAGAUUGCACAAUGGGCGCAAGCCGGAUGCAGCGACGCCGCGUGGGGGAUGACGGCCUUCGGGUUGUAAACUCCAUUCGCUAGGGACGAAGCUUUUUGUGACGGUACCUAGAUAAGAAGCACCGGCUAACUACGUG